GACAGUUUGGCCGAGUGGUCUAAGGCGCUGGCUUAAGGCGCCAGCCCGAAAGGGCGUGGGUUCGAACUCCACAGCUGUCA
Perkinsus marinus ATCC 50983 is the source of this 80-nucleotide non-coding RNA. Lineage: Eukaryota; Perkinsozoa; Perkinsida; Perkinsidae. The record is from Rfam.